Molecule: ribosomal RNA, 520 nt
Filed under: uncultured Gigaspora
Lineage: Eukaryota; Fungi; Glomeromycota; Glomeromycetes; Diversisporales; Gigasporaceae
Description: SSU rRNA
Rfam family: Eukaryotic small subunit ribosomal RNA
Source: RNAcentral
AGCAGCCGCGGUAAUUCCAGCUCCAAUAGCGUAUAUUAAAGUUGUUGCAGUUAAAAAGCUCGUAGUUGAAUUUCGGGGUUCUACCGUUGGUCGGGCAAUAGUCUGUACUGGCGUGUGGAAUUUCUACCUUCUGGGGAACCAUCAUGUUAUUUAUUUAGCGUGGUGGGAAACCAGGACCUUUACCUUGCAAAAAUUAGAGUAGUUCAAAGCAGGCUUACGUCUGAAUACAUUAGCAUGGAAUAAUAAAAUAGGACGGUGGUCCUGUUUUGUUGGUUUCUGAAUCACCGUAAUGAUUAAUAGGGAUAGUUGGGGGCAUUAGUAUUCAAUUGUCAGAGGUGAAAUUCUUGGAUUUAUUGAAGACUAACUUCUGCGAAAGCAUUUGCCAAGGAUGUUUUCAUUAAUCAAGAACGAAAGUUAGGGGAUCGAAGACGAUCAGAUACCGUCGUAGUCUUAACCAUAAACUACUGCCGACUAGGGAUCGGACGAUGUUAAUUUUUCUUGACUCGUUCGGCGCCUUACG